Molecule: ribosomal RNA, 427 nt
Filed under: uncultured bacterium
Lineage: Bacteria
Description: partial 16S ribosomal RNA
Rfam family: Bacterial small subunit ribosomal RNA
Source: RNAcentral
GUGGGGAAUAUUGGGCAAUGGGGGCAACCCUGACCCAGCGACGCCGCGUGAGGGAAGAAGGCCUUAGGGUCGUAAACCUCUGUUGUGUGGGAAGAAGGAAGUGACGGUACCACACGAGGAAGUCCCGGCUAACUACGUGCCAGCAGCCGCGGUAAUACGUAGGGGACGAGCGUUGUCCGGAAUUACUGGGCGUAAAGGGCGCGUAGGCGGUCAUUUAAGUCAGCUGUGAAAUGGUCCGGCUCAACCGGAUCAUGCGGUUGAAACUGGAUGACUGGAGUGCUGGAGAGGCAAGUGGAAUUCCCAGUGUAGCGGUGAAAUGCGUAGAUAUUGGGAAGAACACCGGUGGCGAAGGCGACUUGCUGGCCAGCAACUGACGCUGAGGCGCGAAAGCCAGGGGAGCAAACGGGAUUAGAAACCCUAGUAGUCC